CGGGUUAUAUUCUUCUCAUAUAUUUUAUGAUGGUAUGAUACGCAACCCGUAACGGGAGGGAUUGUGCUUGAUAUUCAAAUAAUUAAGACAGUCAUAAUCUUUCAAUCAGUUUAAUUGAGGUGUGGAGCUGGCAUGUCAGUAACUGCUAGUAGUCCUUUGUUAAUUUAUGUAUCAUUGUCAUUUUGUUAAGUUUCAUUUGUU
Molecule: long non-coding RNA, 201 nt
Filed under: Mytilus galloprovincialis (Mediterranean mussel)
Lineage: Eukaryota; Metazoa; Mollusca; Bivalvia; Mytilida; Mytilidae
Source: RNAcentral